CCAAAUUCUACCACAAAUAAUUUACAUCUACAACUCACAAAUCAUCCUCUUAGUAUAAACUGGUCAACUUCUAUUUGGAUUUAAACUAUUUUUCUUAGGAAAUCCACCAUUCAAACACCACUUCCUCUCUCUAACGGUUGUUACAUUUUUAUAUUAUAAUUCACAGUAUCGAUUUAUAUCCUUAAAUCAGAUUUUUAUGUUCUUUAAUACUUU
Molecule: long non-coding RNA, 213 nt
Filed under: Brassica napus (rape)
Lineage: Eukaryota; Viridiplantae; Streptophyta; Magnoliopsida; Brassicales; Brassicaceae
Description: long non-coding RNA (BNAP_LNC007117)
Source: RNAcentral